This 251-nucleotide ribosomal RNA is filed under the name uncultured prokaryote. RNAcentral describes it as "partial 16S rRNA". It matches the Rfam family "Bacterial small subunit ribosomal RNA", at positions 525 to 775 of the family's 1533-position model. The record is from RNAcentral.
AAGGAGGGGGCAAGCGGUGCGCGGAAAAAAGGGGCGUAAAGGGUGUGUAGGUGGCUGAUUAAGUUAAGGAUGAAAUCCCGAGGCUCAACUUCGGAACUGUCCUUGAUACUGGUCAGCUUGAGGCUAGUAAAGGAGAGCGGAAUUCCCGGUGGAGCGGUGAAAUGCGUAGAUAUCGGGAGGAACACCAGAGGCGUAGGCGGUUCUCUAGGCUAGUCCUGACACUGAGACACGAAAGCUAGGGGAGCAAACGG